UACGGGGGGGGUAAGCGUUGUUCGGAAUUACUGGGCGUAAAGGGCUCGUAGGCGGCCAACUAAGUCAGACGUGAAAUCCCUCAGCUUAACUGGGGAACUGCGUCUGAUACUGGAUGGCUUGGAUCCGGAAGAGGGAUGCGGAAUUCCAGGUGUAGCGGUGAAAUGCUUAGAUAUCGUCAAGAACACCUAUAGCGAAGGCAGCUUACUAGGCUGUAACUGACGCUGAGGCACGAAAGUGUGGGGAUCAAACAGG
This 253-nucleotide ribosomal RNA is filed under the name uncultured bacterium. RNAcentral describes it as "partial 16S ribosomal RNA". It matches the Rfam family "Bacterial small subunit ribosomal RNA", at positions 524 to 776 of the family's 1533-position model. The record is from RNAcentral.